AGAGAGAGACAUGCGCGCAUAUCAAUAAGCGGAGGAAAAGAAACUAACAAGGAUUCCCCUAGUAACGGCGAGUGAAGCGGGAAGAGCUCAAAUUUGAAAUCUUAAAGGGUUUCCCUUUACGAAUUGUAGUUUAAAGAAGUGUUUUCUGUUGAGGUUUUGGUAAAAGUUCUUUGGAAUAGGACAUCAUAGAGGGUGAGAAUCCCGUAUUUGACCUUUACUUUCAACUUUGUGAUACACUUUCAAAGAGUCGGAUUGUUUGGGAAUGCAGUCCAAAAUGGGUGGUAAAUUACAUCUAAAGCUAAAUAUUGGCGAGAGACCGAUAGCGAACGAGUACCGUGAGGGAAAGAUGAAAAGAACUUUGAAAAGAGAGUUAAACAGUACGUGAAAUUGUCAAAAGGGAAGCGUUUGACACCAGUGUUGUUUUUCUGAAAAUCAAUUAAAGAACUGUUUAUGCUAAGUUGUUUAGACCUUAUCAGCUAACUGUUUAGUUUUGAGCUUUUCUUUAAUGCACUUUUCAGUUAACAAGUCAACAUCAAUUUCUUUUGCUGUAAAAAAGCUUGAGGAAGGUGGCUUGAGAUUCGUCUUAAGUGUUUAUAGCCUCUUGCCUAUGCAGUCGGAGAGAUUGAGGUCUGCAGCGUAGAUCCUUCGGGGCUAAAUGCAUUUGUGCUAAGUUAUAGCAUUUUAUAGACAACUUGUUGACUAUGAUUUGUCUUGUAGCUUACUCGCUUAUGUUAUUUUACCUACGCUUAGGAUGUUGAGCGCAUGUCUCUCUCU
Molecule: ribosomal RNA, 774 nt
Filed under: uncultured Neocallimastigales
Lineage: Eukaryota; Fungi; Neocallimastigomycota; Neocallimastigomycetes; Neocallimastigales
Description: partial large subunit ribosomal RNA
Rfam family: Eukaryotic large subunit ribosomal RNA
Source: RNAcentral